UCAUGAUGAGACAUCAUAGCUGGCACCAGUCAGACGGGGAUAUUUACUCUAUCCUCCAUGCUGAUUAGCUUGCGAUCCGGAAACGCUAUCUGGAUCCUGAC
This 101-nucleotide small nucleolar RNA is filed under the name Aspergillus aculeatus ATCC 16872. RNAcentral's name for it is "A. fumigatus snoRNA Afu_190". It matches the Rfam family "A. fumigatus snoRNA Afu_190". The record is from Rfam by way of RNAcentral. Lineage: Eukaryota; Fungi; Ascomycota; Eurotiomycetes; Eurotiales; Aspergillaceae.